AACACAAAACUUUUUAUGGUGGAAAAUUUCUAGCACUUACAAAAAGUGACAGACUGGCAUAAUGGACGUCCACAUAGCCAUCACCCAGUUCCAGCAGUUACCAACAUAUGGCUAAUCUUACCCACUUGCUGUCCUUCUGUAUGCAUUACUUUGAAGCAUACCCAAGCCUUCAAACAACUUCAUCUCUGCUGCCUUGACGGUUCUGACUUCCCUACAGUCUCCCCCAGGCCACCACUGUAAGGGCGGGAGCAUGCACACAUCCAGCAGCCAGCGUGAGGCCAUGGGCCUGCCCCCUACCAGAGAGCAGACCCGGCCUCCUUGGUGAUCACAGAAAGAAGCCUGCACUAAGGCCUGCCUCUUGGCCUUUGCCUGUCAUCCUCCAAAAGGAACCUGGAUGGGUCUGGCAGAGGGAGAGACUGAAAGUCCUAGGAAGGACUUCAUGAAGCCAAAUGUAGGAGAGGAAGAGGCUGAAUGCUUUGCAAGCGAAGUCCAUUCCAGAUGGUAGAUAUGAGAAAUUCUCUUUCUGGAUGGGUCACAUGUGGAUCAGAGCCCUGGAACUGCUAUCUGCUACCAUGCGGGGCAAAAACAGCUGAAAACAAAUUCAACACAAUAACAAGACAGGGCUUGAAAAAUAUCACGGGAACAAGCAAAGAGCCAUGAUCAAACCAUACCUAAAAUUAAUUCUAUGGCUAGACUUUUCAGUUGUGUCAAAAUUCCCUUCUUUUUAUUCUAUUCGUUAAUUUGACUUGAAUUUACUAUUACAAUAAAUAAAUCCCAAAUCACAGAGCAGAUAACAUUUACUGAAUGCUUCCUAAACUCUAGGCAUUAUGCUAAAUAUCUCACAAGUCAAUUAAUUCUCUUUUCAACUUCUGUGAUUAGUACCAUUAUAUCUCCCAUUUUAUAAAUCUUGAAACCGAAGUAGUAAGAUUAAGUAACUUACCCGUGAUCAUACACAGGCAGAAACAGGCCUUCCUCAUACUCCUAUUUAACUUGAUGCUUAAGGUAUUAGGCACUUUAUUUUAUUCUCUUUGUUUUAUACAAUCUAAGUCACUACUUUCUUGCUUAAUAUUUGAAAGGCAUUAAAGAAAAUGGUGUUCCUUUGCUUACAAGUAUCUAUGUUGGCAAUUAAGAAA
Manis javanica (Malayan pangolin) is the source of this 1133-nucleotide non-coding RNA. NCBI's taxonomy places the organism in Eukaryota, Metazoa, Chordata, Mammalia, Pholidota, Manidae. The record is from RefSeq and is a predicted model, not a curated record.